GGGCCCCUGGGGGGGCAGUCAGCCGCCGCCAAGGCCGGGCCGCUGGCGGUCCCCUGCCUGCCGCUGUCCGCUGCCGGCCUCAGUCCCGCUCUAGUCCGCCAGGCGGAGCUCCGCGGGGAGCCCCAGUUCGUUAACAUGUUGGGCGUCUCAUUCCGGGACCCUUCCCUGCUGCUGGCCCUUGGGGUCAUUGGGGUUACAGUGCUUGUGUUUGCCCUGAAGAACAUGAACUCCAGGAAGAGAGAUCCUAUCACCUUACAGGACCCUGAUGCCAAGUACCCAUUGCCUUUGAUUGAGAAAGAGAAAAUCAACCACAACACCCGCCGGUUCCGCUUUGGAUUGCCCUCUCCAGAGCAUGUCUUAGGGCUUCCUGUAGGUAACUAUGUCCAUCUCAUGGCCAGAAUUGAUAAUGAUUUCGUGAUCAGGGCAUACACACCUGUCUCAAGUGAUGAUGACAAAGGCUUUGUGGACUUAAUUAUAAAGAUCUACUUCAAAAAUGUACACCCUCAUUAUCCUGAAGGGGGGAAGAUGACUCAGUAUUUGGAGAAAAUGAAAAUUGGGGACACUAUCCUUUUUCGAGGACCAACGGGGCGCCUAUUUUACCAAGGGCAAGGAAACCUUGCAAUCAGACAGUACAAAACGAGCAUGCCUGAGAAAAAACUGGUCUGUCACUUGGGAAUGAUUGCUGGGGGCACAGGCAUUACGCCCAUGCUGCAGCUCAUUCGCCACAUCACCAAGAACCCCAUGGACAAGACCAGGAUGUCCCUCAUCUUUGCCAACCAGACAGAGGAGGAUAUCUUGAUGAGAAAGGAGCUGGAAGAAAUUGCCAAGACUCACCUAAACCAGUUCAAACUGUGGUACACCCUGGACAGGCCUCCCCUUGGCUGGAAGUACAGCUCAGGCUUUGUGACUGCUGACAUGAUCAAGCAGCACCUCCCACCUCCUGGGAAAACCACACUCAUCCUGGUUUGUGGCCCACCAGCCUUGAUCCAGACAGCGGCUCAUCCCAACCUGGAGAAGCUGGGUUAUACCAAGGAUAUGAUUUUCACCUACUAGUAUCUCCUGUACUCCUAGAAAAUUUCCUGGGACCCUUUCCUCUAUUUCAGAGAUAUUUCAAGUGUCCUGGCUCAGGGCUCCCUGCAUAGCUAUUAUCCUGCCCUCACCUCAUCAGCUGGGCGCCGAUGCAGGCAGUGGGGGUUGAACUUGUUGACAUGCAGCACAUGAAUGGCACAUUUGAUGCUGAGAUGAUGUAGCUGGCUGGUGACUUUUAAGAAGAGUAAAUCAUUCUGGAAAAGAAAAGUUUUUAUGAGCCAGUUUCCAAAAUGACAAGACUCUAGUGGUCCUUCCUGGUCUGGCCAAACAGACAAGACUUCCACAUUUCAGGAAGGUGCAUUAUGGACAUACCAACAGUUUCUCUUAUCACAAUGGUUUGUACUCUGCUACUGGGGAUAUCUUAUGUAACAAUCAAUACUAUUUCAAGGACUUCAGAAUAAGAUGGAAUCAGGCUUAAAAUAACAAUCAUGGGCAUAUCUGAGCCAUAUGCUCACAGAUACAACUGAAAUAUUUAAAGGAAAAGUCCUUACCACAGUUAGGUAUUGCAGCAUUCGUCCAUCAACUCUGGACUCAUGAAACUGGUCUUUAUAUUGCGGUAAGCCAAUAUCAUCAAGCCACCCUAUAAAUACAGAAAAAAAAAUAGUUGUGUUGGGAUUCCUGAGAAUAGGAGCAACAAUUAUCAUUUUGAGGUUCCAGUUUUUUUUCAGAAGAUUUAGUAAUCCAUCUGCCUUUCACAAGGACACAGCUGUCUUUGAGGCACAAAUUCAACAUGGAAAUUCUUUUUACCCUUAGGAACAGUCAGAUACAUACUUAAUACAUAUAUGCCUGUCCUUACGUGUCACCCAAAUGUGAUCCAGCAGCGCAGACUUCUCUUCCUGCUUGGUGUUGAUGGCUUUCACUGCUAAAACAAGUUUCUUUCUAUGAAGAGGGUGCUUAAUUCCUAGUUCCUGAAAUUGCAAGAUGAAGACCAGAUGUAAAAUUUUGGCAGACAAUUUGAUCUCCAGAGGAUGUUGUGUCAGGGUGGAGAUGCUCUAAGAGUAUGGCAGGGGAUCUGUGCACAAGACCCUGGGAUGUCAACCUGCAGUUACUAAGGAAAUCCCAGCUUCCUGCCCAUCUUCCUGUGUGUAUAUGGAGUGGGGGCCUUCACCUUCCCAUGAAUUGGUCUGGGGAGAAAUAACAGCCUCCUCUCCCUGGGCUCAGCUCUUACCUUUUCCAUGUCCUGAGGGGUAGCUGUCAGUAAAGUGUGGCCAGAUGUCACCCAUUGCCUGGCAAAGAUCACAUACUGAGCCAGGCCGAAGUCCUCAAGCCAUGAACAUACACGCUCUGUGCUCCACUGGGCAAAGGGGGCAUUGGCAUCACUGGGAAGCAGAGAAACAGUGUACUUUUGUAAGUUGAAAGUCUGAGGUUCUGCGUAUAAUAAAGCCUCAUCAAAAAGGAACUACCUUUUAACAAACAACCCAACCAUGGGCUAUAGCUGAAGGAAAUUCCACAACACACUCACAUGAGGUACAUUCAAGUCCCUUCCAUAACAAAUGAGUUUCAAAUCCAGCUACUUAGAGACAGCUGACAUAAUCCUUAAGAGACUGCAGUCAAUAGGUCCACAUAUACCUCAACAUGUCACAAUCCCAGAGCAUGGCCCUAUUAGGAAAAACACCUACAACUAACUCAUUUUGUCCACAAGAUUCAACACUCUUUUUAAGGAAAACACUUAGAAAGUUGGAAAAAGACAAUUGGUUCUCUAACAUUAAAAAAAAAAAUCAACAGCCCUCCAAUUAACAAUAGCUAAUAUUAAUAAAAUACUAGGGACUUUCAUAUUAAAAAUCAA
RNA transcript from Ictidomys tridecemlineatus (thirteen-lined ground squirrel), 2875 nucleotides. It is a transcript of the gene named cytochrome b5 reductase 2, with no coding region annotated. Lineage: Eukaryota; Metazoa; Chordata; Mammalia; Rodentia; Sciuridae. The record is from RefSeq and is a predicted model, not a curated record.